GAAAGUAAAAGUCGUAACAAGGUCUCCGUUGGUGAACCAGCGGAGGGAUCAUUACCGAGUUUACAACGCCCAAACCCAAUGUGAACCAUACCAAACUGUUGCCUCGGCGGGGUCACGCCCCGGGUGCGUCGCAGCCCCGGAACCAGGCGCCCGCCGGAGGGACCAACCAAACUCUCUCUGUAGUCCCCUCGCGGACGUUAUUUUUACAGCUCUGAGCAAAAAUUCAAAAUGAAUCAAAACUUUCAACAACGGAUCUCUUGGUUCUG
Molecule: unclassified non-coding RNA, 266 nt
Filed under: plant metagenome
Description: partial contains small subunit ribosomal RNA, internal transcribed spacer 1, and 5.8S ribosomal RNA
Rfam family: Eukaryotic small subunit ribosomal RNA (bases 1-54)
Source: RNAcentral